Molecule: transfer RNA, 87 nt
Filed under: Nitrincola sp. A-D6
Lineage: Bacteria; Pseudomonadati; Pseudomonadota; Gammaproteobacteria; Oceanospirillales; Oceanospirillaceae
Also listed under: 2 other names
Description: tRNA-Leu
Rfam family: tRNA
About the family: Transfer RNA (tRNA) molecules are approximately 80 nucleotides in length. Their secondary structure includes four short double-helical elements and three loops (D, anti-codon, and T loops). Further hydrogen bonds mediate the characteristic L-shaped molecular structure. tRNAs have two regions of fundamental functional importance: the anti-codon, which is responsible for specific mRNA codon recognition, and the 3' end, to which the tRNAs corresponding amino acid is attached (by aminoacyl-tRNA synthetases). tRNAs cope with the degeneracy of the genetic code in two manners: having more than one tRNA (with a specific anti-codon) for a particular amino acid; and 'wobble' base-pairing, i.e. permitting non-standard base-pairing at the 3rd anti-codon position.
Source: RNAcentral
GGCGGUGUGGUGAAAUUGGUAGACACGACGGAUUCAAAAUCCGUUGCCUUAACGGGCGUGGCGGUUCGAGUCCGCCCACCGCUACCA